Molecule: unclassified non-coding RNA, 337 nt
Filed under: soil metagenome
Description: partial contains 5.8S ribosomal RNA, internal transcribed spacer 2, and large subunit ribosomal RNA
Rfam family: 5.8S ribosomal RNA (bases 1-120)
Source: RNAcentral
GAUGAAGAACGUAGCGAAAUGUGAUAAGUAAUGUGAAUUGCAGAAUUCAGUGAAUCAUCGAAUCUUUGAACGCACAUUGCGCCCGCCAGUAUUCUGGCGGGCAUGCCUGUUCGAGCGUCAUUUCAACCAUCAAGCCCCAGGCUUGUGUUGGGGACCUGCGGCUGCCGCAGGCCCUGAAAAUCAGUGGCGGGCUCGCUAGUCACUCCGAGCGUAGUAGCAUACAUCUCGCUCUGGGCGUGCUGCGGGUUCCGGCCGUUAAACCACCUUCAUAACCCAAGGUUGACCUCGGAUCAGGUAGGAAGACCCGCUGAACUUAAGCAUAUCAAUAAGCGGAGGA